Molecule: long non-coding RNA, 258 nt
Filed under: Salvia miltiorrhiza (redroot sage)
Lineage: Eukaryota; Viridiplantae; Streptophyta; Magnoliopsida; Lamiales; Lamiaceae
Description: long non-coding RNA (SMIL_LNC003193)
Source: RNAcentral
AAUGGUCGCUGGUCAGAAAUGGAUGAUUAUCCUGAGUAUAGAUAUUGAUUUGGUGUUUUUGUUAGUUUACGAUCUCUUUUUGAGUUCGUGCCCUUAGUCUGCUCUUUGUAUUUUCAAGGGAUGCUUCUUUUUCUUUUAUAUUAAACUUCAUUUUAAUAGUAGAAUUACGAAAGUACAUGUACUGUUUUUUAAAAUUUCAAGGAAGCCCAAUAACCCCCGCCCUACCUCUAGCUCGAUAUAUAUGCUUGUGCGCAAAUG